ACACAACUCUGGAGAGUCCCUUAAGGGCGCCGAAGGUGCACGGAAUCGUUGAUUCCUUAUCUCUCAGGCAAAAGGACAGAGA
This 82-nucleotide non-coding RNA is filed under the name Megasphaera hominis. RNAcentral describes it as "Glycine riboswitch". It matches the Rfam family "Glycine riboswitch aptamer", at positions 9 to 86 of the family's 94-position model. Rfam says of the family: This family represents the bacterial glycine riboswitch. Glycine riboswitches usually consist of two metabolite-binding aptamers domains with similar structures in tandem. The record is from RNAcentral. Lineage: Bacteria; Bacillati; Bacillota; Negativicutes; Veillonellales; Veillonellaceae.